ACCUCCCGACGCGCGCUGCCCCCGACUGACGCUCGCCAGGGUAG
Molecule: unclassified non-coding RNA, 44 nt
Filed under: Sorangium cellulosum So ce56
Lineage: Bacteria; Pseudomonadati; Myxococcota; Polyangiales; Polyangiaceae
Source: RNAcentral